CGCGACCCCAGGUCAGGCGGGGUUACCCGCUGAAUU
RNAcentral lists this ribosomal RNA (36 nucleotides) under Polylepis pepei. Its description in RNAcentral is "partial 26S ribosomal RNA". The record is from RNAcentral. Lineage: Eukaryota; Viridiplantae; Streptophyta; Magnoliopsida; Rosales; Rosaceae.